This 315-nucleotide ribosomal RNA is filed under the name uncultured eukaryote. Its description in RNAcentral is "partial 18S ribosomal RNA". It matches the Rfam family "Eukaryotic small subunit ribosomal RNA", at positions 1470 to 1796 of the family's 1831-position model. The record is from RNAcentral.
CCCUUAGAUGUCCGGGGCCGCACGCGCGCUACACUGAAGGAAUCAGCGUGGCUUUCUCCCUGACCCGAAAGGGUUGGGAAACCCGUUGAAUCUCCUUCGUGAUAGGGAUUGGGGCUUGAAAUUGUUCCCCAUGAACGAGGAAUUCCCAGUAAGCGCGAGUCAUAAGCUCGCGUUGAUUACGUCCCUGCCCUUUGUACACACCGCCCGUCGCUCCUACCGAUGAAUCGUCCGGUGAAGUUCAUGGAGUGGUGGUUGUUCCAGCUGCUGUCGAAGUGAAAUGGACCUCACGAUUUAGAGGAAGGAGAAGUCGUAACA